This 567-nucleotide ribosomal RNA is filed under the name uncultured Glomeromycotina. RNAcentral's name for it is "SSU rRNA". It matches the Rfam family "Eukaryotic small subunit ribosomal RNA", at positions 548 to 1114 of the family's 1831-position model. Lineage: Eukaryota; Fungi; Glomeromycota. The record is from RNAcentral.
UUGGAGGGCAAGUCUGGUGCCAGCAGCCGCGGUAAUUCCAGCUCCAAUAGCGUAUAUUAAAGUUGUUGCAGUUAAAAAGCUCGUAGUUGAAAUUCGAAAUUUGUCCUAUGGUCGGGCUUUACGGUCCGUACAGUAGUGGCGAAUUUCUACCUUCUGAAGAACCUUCAUGUCAUUAAUUUGAUGUGUUGGGAAAUCAGGACUGUUACUUUGAAAAAAUUAGAGUGUUUAAAGCAGGCUAUAGUCUGAAUACAUUAGCAUGGAAUAAUGAAAUAGGACGGAUUGGUUCUAUUUUGUUGGUUUCUAGGAUCACCGUAAUGAUUAAUAGGGAUAGUUGGGGGCAUUAGUAUUCAAUUGUCAGAGGUGAAAUUCUUGGAUUUAUUGAAGACUAACUUCUGCGAAAGCAUUUGCCAAGGAUGUUUUCAUUAAUCAAGAACGAAAGUUAGGGGAUCGAAGACGAUCAGAUACCGUCGUAGUCUUAACCAUAAACUAUGCCGACUAGGGAUCGGACGAAGUUAAUUUUUAGAUGACUCGUUCGGCGCCUUACGGGAAACCAAAGUGUUUGGGUUC